This 1050-nucleotide ribosomal RNA is filed under the name Bacillus aerius. Its description in RNAcentral is "bacterial SSU rRNA". It matches the Rfam family "Bacterial small subunit ribosomal RNA", at positions 36 to 1076 of the family's 1533-position model. Lineage: Bacteria; Bacillati; Bacillota; Bacilli; Caryophanales; Bacillaceae. The record is from RNAcentral.
CCGGGGGGGGUGCCUAUAAUGCAGUCGAGCGGACAGAAGGGAGCUUGCUCCCGGAUGUUAGCGGCGGACGGGUGAGUAACACGUGGGUAACCUGCCUGUAAGACUGGGAUAACUCCGGGAAACCGGAGCUAAUACCGGAUAGUUCCUUGAACCGCAUGGUUCAAGGAUGAAAGACGGUUUCGGCUGUCACUUACAGAUGGACCCGCGGCGCAUUAGCUAGUUGGUGAGGUAACGGCUCACCAAGGCGACGAUGCGUAGCCGACCUGAGAGGGUGAUCGGCCACACUGGGACUGAGACACGGCCCAGACUCCUACGGGAGGCAGCAGUAGGGAAUCUUCCGCAAUGGACGAAAGUCUGACGGAGCAACGCCGCGUGAGUGAUGAAGGUUUUCGGAUCGUAAAGCUCUGUUGUUAGGGAAGAACAAGUGCAAGAGUAACUGCUUGCACCUUGACGGUACCUAACCAGAAAGCCACGGCUAACUACGUGCCAGCAGCCGCGGUAAUACGUAGGUGGCAAGCGUUGUCCGGAAUUAUUGGGCGUAAAGGGCUCGCAGGCGGUUUCUUAAGUCUGAUGUGAAAGCCCCCGGCUCAACCGGGGAGGGUCAUUGGAAACUGGGAAACUUGAGUGCAGAAGAGGAGAGUGGAAUUCCACGUGUAGCGGUGAAAUGCGUAGAGAUGUGGAGGAACACCAGUGGCGAAGGCGACUCUCUGGUCUGUAACUGACGCUGAGGAGCGAAAGCGUGGGGAGCGAACAGGAUUAGAUACCCUGGUAGUCCACGCCGUAAACGAUGAGUGCUAAGUGUUAGGGGGUUUCCGCCCCUUAGUGCUGCAGCUAACGCAUUAAGCACUCCGCCUGGGGAGUACGGUCGCAAGACUGAAACUCAAAGGAAUUGACGGGGGCCCGCACAAGCGGUGGAGCAUGUGUUUAAUUCGAAGCAACGCGAAGAACCUUACCAGGUCUUGACAUCCUCUGACAACCCUAGAGAUAGGGCUUCCUUCGGGACAGAGUGACAGUGUGCAUGCUGUCGUCAGCCUCGUGUCGUGAGAUGUU